CAGGGAGACAAAUAAUUGAUUGUGAUGUCUGAGCAAUAUGUUCUUAGGCCGCAAUCCUGUCACCUUAGGUCGAUCGGUACCUCAGAUUUAUGAAUUAAUUUUAUAAUUAAGUCAUUAAUUUCAGUUCCUAAACUUGUCUAGGUCACACCCAACAAGGGUUUCUCCUGGGCCAUUAGCUCAGGUGGUUAGAGCGCACCCCUGAUAAGGGUGAGGUCCCUGGUUCAAGUCCAGGAUGGCCCAUUCGUUGUUGGGGGUAUAGCUCAGUUGGUAGAGCGCCUGCUUUGCAAGCAGGAUGUCAGCGGUUCGAGUCCGCUUACCUCCACUGAAACCUACCCUGAUAACUAAUCGGGAGAAAAUUUAGAUUGUGAUUUAGAUUUGUCUACUACUUAAGAACCUAGCUUCUUAUCAUCUUCAAUAAAGUUGAUAAUAUGCUGGGCUCUCAUGGCAAAUUCCAUGUGAUUUCAGUAGAACCUUGAAAACUGCAUAGAUAGAAAGAAUAAAGCAUCUCAUGGAUGCAUAAUUCUGAAUUAAAUAUUUAGUGAAAAGCUAAAUAUAUGAUUCAAGAAUUCAUGUUUAAUUCUUGAGUAAAAGCCGAGCACAAUUUAUUUUGUGAUUGUAUUUAA
This 623-nucleotide transfer RNA is filed under the name uncultured Prochlorococcus sp. Its description in RNAcentral is "partial 16S-23S ribosomal RNA intergenic spacer". The stretch from base 250 to 322 matches the Rfam family "tRNA". Lineage: Bacteria; Bacillati; Cyanobacteriota; Cyanophyceae; Synechococcales; Prochlorococcaceae. The record is from RNAcentral.